UCGAGUACACACACACACGAGACAGAGCUCCCAAGUCACUUUACUACACUCACUCACUCAUUCACACACAUCUCCCAUACUAUUGUCUCAAAGUGCCUCCAUCCAACUCUGAACUCCUUCAUCAUGCCUUCCCCCAGAGGAUCCAAAUCAAAAGCCAAACCUACACCCAAACGUACCCGGGAUGACGUUGUAAUCGAAGACCAGGACAUGUCAGAUACGGAGUCCACCAGCUUCAAUUACACCAAACUGGAAAUCCAGGAGCUCAUUAAUAGUGCAAUCAAUCAGACAAUGCUCACUUUUGUGAAGAAAAUAGAGGAAGCCAUCGCACCCCUUACGACCAUCACCACAAAACUACAGGACCUCGAAUCGAAAAUGCACACCUUAGAAGCACAGGUAGCUAAACUGGAGUCGAUCCAGCGAAUACAGAUCACUUAAAGAAGGAUGAAGAUAUGGUUAUUGUUUCAGUAUAGGGAAAUGGGGUUCCAAAUGCUGUGAUUGGCUGACGGUUUUUAUGGGCAUCCGCCCAUAAAAACAGGGCCUUGGCACAACUCAAUUUUUCCCAAUCUCAAUUUCCCAUUACUUGGAAAUCUCACUCCUUUCUUGGCACCAAAAUCAGGUGUCUCCUUUACCAUCAUUAUUGCUGCCAAACUCGGAAAAGCUGAGUAAUUAAAAGAUUAUUUAAUAUCCUACAAAUUAAUUUUCUGACAUCCACUCAAUUACAUAAAUCGGUUCAACUCACCACAAGUUAAGCUCUAAGCUUCAACUCUCGGUAACUGCUAAGGACAAUUUUUCAUCCAUUAAUUUUGCGACCUCUCUGCCGUGCCCCCACCAGAAAUCUGUGUCAUCGCCGGCCAACCUGGUAAAUAACAACUUUAACUGGAUUCUGCAACAAUAAGGACCAAGGAACUUGUAUUUCGUAAUGCACUAUAUUUUAUUGAAGUAUACACUCAUCAAUUACCAUUAGUUGUUGUUCGUGACCUGGUAACAGUGUGAAAUUGUCGGAAACUUCGUUAAAGUUUUACAAGAUUCAAAAAUAGUUUCUCAUAUAAUGAACGAUAUAAUAUUUGUGCCAAUUGUUACUCAAUAUUGUGACCUAUUGCCCCUUCCUCCACCAGAUCCGUGUCUCCACCGGUCAAUUUAUCUGAUCUAUCAGUACUCAUCAAUUACUAUGAGACCUUGUUCGUGACUCGGGAAUAGUGUGAAAUUCUCAGGAACUUCAGUAAAGUUUACCAGAUUCGCCUUCAUGUACUCAAAUUCAGUGUGACUUUAUCAAAACCUUCUUCAAAAUCUUCUUAAAAUAAACAAUUAACGGUGGAGACACAUAAAUAUGGUGAAAACACGUUAUUUGUUUCAAGCAGGUUUCAAAUUACUAAUUGCUUGUUAUUUUUCGCAGGAAAUCCAGUUGCUCAAAACAUUUAUUUGAAUUUAAUAAACCGUCGUUUGUCACGGUCCGAAAUAUAAAGUGUUGCGGUACUAAUUGUGAUAAUUCUUGAAACCAAGAAAAUCGUAAUUACUCCUUUCUGCCAAAGCGUCAGAACUUCCGAUGCAAAAUAACUCAUUUCUCUCAUUCUUUUUUCCUCUGAUAGCUAAUUUUAGUUUUUUUAAAGGUUCCAGCAGUGGUGUAAAAUUCUCGACAUCGAUAAGGAAAACGUAUCACAUAAAACUGUCGUUUGCAGCAAACACUUUUAGCCACCUUCAAGAAAUUUCUCAAAGAGUUUUACCGACCUCUCCACCCCAUUUGUGUCUUCACCAUUGUCUGUGUCUCCACCGAAAGGGGGGUGGGUUAAUUUAUCCUUUAUAUGAACAAGAAGAUAAAGAUUAGAAAUAAGUUUCACUACAGUUUGAAGUAGAAGAAUCAGAACCACAUUCAACUGUUUCCAUUUUCCUUAUAUACUCAAGGCACGAAAAUUAUUGCUACUAUUUAUAAUAAAAUAUUUUGCAAC
Molecule: long non-coding RNA, 1943 nt
Organism: Folsomia candida
Lineage: Eukaryota; Metazoa; Arthropoda; Collembola; Entomobryomorpha; Isotomidae
Exons: 5
Source: RefSeq, a predicted model, not a curated record